Long non-coding RNA from Chelonia mydas (Green sea turtle), 1990 nucleotides. RefSeq lists it as uncharacterized. The record is from RefSeq and is a predicted model, not a curated record. Lineage: Eukaryota; Metazoa; Chordata; Testudines; Cheloniidae. The transcript has 3 exons.
GCUGCACUGUCACAUGUAAUCCCAUUGACUAGUUGGUUAGCUCCUUGAGGCAGGACCCAACAAACAAUAGACAAUGAAGACUAUGAACUCCUUAGUCCAGGAUAAGGACUAAUCUUUGCUUUUGUGCCUGCCACUAUCUUGGGUGACACACUGGGGACUUCCAGAGCUAAAAGCACAAGUUGCUUCAACUUCAGCUUAAGCCAGGCUAGGGGUUUUAACAACUCAUAUCCUCUGUGAAUUGGCUCAGAGGGAAAUCCGCAAUGGACGUGCACCAGUGGGUUUCGUUUGCACUGCUCUCAGUUACACCAGUGGUUAAUCGGAGGGUGGAGAGCUGUCAUUCUGUUGGAGAGUUGUAUCUGUGGAAUACCAGAGGCUCAAUAUUGAUGAUGAUGUUGUGAAGAGUCAUCUAAAAAACCCAGAAAGGAGCUGGCAUACCAUCAGAACAGCUGGCGUGCUGGAUGCCUCUUCCAAUCCAGUUAGCCCUGUUGAAUGCCUAAACCAAUGUCUGAGAUCGGGGAAUAGAUGAGAGCUAGCAGGCAGUAAAACAGGUUACAGCAACACAAUGAGAAGUCAAAAGCCACACUGAAAAGCAACAGUCUUCAUUUUGUGGAUGUUUGGAUCCCGAUCUGAAUUUCAUCAUUAGCCCCUGUGUCUCUGAAGGAGCAAACUCAAACUCCAGCCCCCAACACCCUCCAGACUUUGGGGAAGUUUGACUCUGGGCCCACAUACGGAGGCACAGCCCCAUCUUUAGUUUAUAAUACCUUCCACUGAUCUUUGAGAUAAAGUAGUAUUAAACAUUACUUUUUGAUCAAGAUUUCAAGGUAACAGUUCAAGUAAUGGUGUACAUUGAACUGCAGAUAACAAACACUAAUGGGCAUGAUUCUGUCAGGUUUUACAGUGGUGUAACUAUCAACAUCAAGAGUUACUCUUGAUUUACAUCAUCAUGAGAUCAGAAUUUGGCCCUCUGUGCGCAAACUAUUGAUUUGCACAAUACAAGGAAAAGCAGUUCCAGGACACACAGUAAGGAAUGUGACUGGGUAAAACACAAAGGAGUUUAUUUUGUACUAAUAGUUUAGGAAAGGCAUUCAGACACUUCUAAAGUUAGCAUAUUGUGCUGCCAAGAGAAACAUUGCAGCAAGUGGAAAAAAUACUUUAGCUGGAUAGCCAUCUACCAGCAGAAAUUUCCUGUUUUUCUGCCCAAACAAAUACAAUAUGACUCGCCAAGCAUAUACGCACCAGUUUUCUCUGACUUCCUGCAGGAUAAAUACUUCUAGAUCAUCCAAAGCUAACAUAGUCCUUUACCAAAACCAAGCAGCACCUGAUAAUUUGCAAAUAAUGUAGCACUUUCUCUUUAGUAAUGAUUUUCAAUUAGAAAAAUUGCCUUGUCUCAUCCAUUAGUUUUAACCUCACUCAAUUAUGGUAGAAAUUGUCUGUUUCUUAUACCAAGGUGUAAUUGUUCUUUCCACGGCUGCUUAUGGUUCAUUUUGUAUAUUUUGACAUGUGAUGUUGACAAUUUGUUUUACCAGUUACAAAACAAACGUUUUGACUCUUUUACAGUCGUUAAAUUGUCUGACUCCCUGCAUUGUCUGACUCCCACAACUGUGAAAAUUUAAAUAGAUAAAAACUUUAAAAAUGCUUGAACCCCGUACUUUUGGGCAACUGGGAAAAUUUAAAUCAAUGAAAAGGGAAACAAAUGUUUAAAAAUAUUCACUAUUACUAUCAAAAUUAUAGAAAAAUAUUGAAUUCUGCCAAGCCUAAUCAUAAUGCAUAUGCACAAGGGAACUGAACUAAGGUUGCACGAGCAACUUUAAUUUUGGCAUUUCCUAACUUUUCAGUGCUUGACUUUGCAACCUGAAUGUUCAUUGAACAUAACUGUUGGGUGUAUAAUAUAUAUAAUUUUAAACAUCAUCCCAUAUGUGAGAACAUAAAAGAUGAAGAGGGCUUAUGCUGUUGUUGGAACAUCAUAAAUCUGUAAUGUCAAAGUAUGUCA